CAUAUCAAUAAGCGGAGGAAAAGAAACUAACAAGGAUUCCCCUAGUAACGGCGAGUGAAGCGGGAAGAGCUCAAAUUUGAAAUCUGGUAGCCUUCGGUUGCCCGAGUUGUAAUCUAGAGAAAUGUUUUCCGUGCCGGCCCAUGUACAAGUCCCUUGGAACAGGGCGUCAUAGAGGGUGAGAAUCCCGUCCUUGACAUGGACCCCCGGUGCUUUGUGAUACAUUUUCAACGAGUCGAGUUGUUUGGGAAUGCAGCUCAAAAUGGGUGGUGAAUUCCAUCUAAAGCUAAAUAUUGGCGAGAGACCGAUAGCGAACAAGUACCGUGAGGGAAAGAUGAAAAGCACUUUGGAAAGAGAGUUAAACAGUACGUGAAAUUGUUGAAAGGGAAACGAUUGAAGUCAGUCAUGCUCUUUGGUAUUUAUAUCAUUGAGUGGGGUCAACAUCAGUUUUGAUCGAUGGAUAAAGGCACUAGGAAUGUAGCACUCUCGGGUGAACUUAUAGCCUAGCGUCAUAUACAUUAUUAGGACUGAGGAACGCAGCAUGCCUUUAUGGCCGGGAUUCGUCCACGUACGGAUGUGACAUA
Molecule: ribosomal RNA, 581 nt
Filed under: Naganishia albidosimilis
Lineage: Eukaryota; Fungi; Basidiomycota; Tremellomycetes; Filobasidiales; Filobasidiaceae
Description: eukaryotic LSU rRNA
Rfam family: Eukaryotic large subunit ribosomal RNA
Source: RNAcentral